ACUCAAAUGAGGCUCUGUAAUUGGAAUGAGUACAAUCUAAAUCCUUUAACGAGUACCAAUUGGAGGGCAAGUCUGGUGCCAGCAGCCGCGGUAAUUCCAGCUCCAAUAGCGUAUAUUAAAUUUGUUGCAGUUAAAAAGCUCGUAGUUGGAUCUCAGGUGAGGUGUGUCGGUGUGUUCAAUGAGCAUCACCGUUCAUGUCUGCCUUUCUCAGUCGUUUGUCCUCUCAUGGUUCUCUUAACUGAGUGCUAUAAGAGGCUCGACACGUUUACCUUGAAAAAAUCAGAGUGCUCAAAGCAGGCCUUUGCGCUUGUAUGUUGUUGCAUGGAAUAAUGGAAUAGGACUUCGGUUCUAUUUUGUUGGUUUUCGGUGCCGAAGUAAUGAACAAUAGAGACAGACGGGGGCAUUUCUAUGGCUGUGAUAGAGGUGAAAUUCUGAGACCGCAGCCAGAGAAACUACUGCGAAAGCAUUUGCCAAGCAUGUCUUCAUUAAUCAAGAACGAAAGUCAGAGGUUCGAAGACGAUCAGAUACCGUCCUAGUUCUGACCUUAAACGAUGCCGUCCGAUAAUCAGGAGUGGUUAUAUUUUAUUAAUCCUCCUGGCUGUCCCUGGGAAACCUUAGAUAGGUUCUGGGGGGAAUAUGGUCGCAAGGUUGGAACUUAAAGGAAUUGACGGAAGGGCACCACCAGGAGUGGAGCCUGCGGCUUAAUUUGACCCAACACGGGGAAACUCACCCGGUCCGGACACUGUGAGGAUUGACAGAUUGAUAGCUCUUUCUUGAUUCAGUGGGUGGUGGUGCAUGGCCGUUCUUAGUUGGUGGAGUGAUUUGUCUGGUUAAUUCCGAUAACGAACGAGACUCUAUCCUGCUAAAUAGUUUGGUGGCAUCGGUCGCUUCGGUGACUAAAGCUGCUAAAACUUCUUAGAGGGAUUCGCGGUAUUUAAACCGCACGAAAGAGAGCAAUAACAGGUCUGUGAUGCCCUUAGAUGUCCGGGGCCGCACGCGCGCUACAUUGACAGUAUCAGAAAGUAAUACCACCUAGCUAGAGAUAGUUGGGAAAUCUUUGAAUUACUGUCUCCACAGGGAUUGAGGUUUGUAACUAUCCCUCAUGAACGAGGAAUUCCCAGUAGGCGUAAGUCAUCAGCUUACGUCGAUUACGUCCCUGCCCUUUGUACACACCGCCCGUCGCUACUACCGAUUGAGUGGAUUAGUGAGGCCCUCAGAUUGAGGCUUUGAUGGCGAAAGUCACUAAGGUCUCGAAAAGUGGGUCAAACUUGUUCAUUUAGAGGAAGUAAAAGUC
RNAcentral lists this ribosomal RNA (1294 nucleotides) under metagenome. Its description in RNAcentral is "SSU rRNA". It matches the Rfam family "Eukaryotic small subunit ribosomal RNA", at positions 490 to 1790 of the family's 1831-position model. The record is from RNAcentral.